CACUGCCUGACUCAAGGCAGCUGCAGCAGCGCUGGGCGAAGCUGCAGCUCAAGCAGACACGUAGAGAGAACAGGAGCGUUGUGUGUUUGAGAGAGUAGCUGUGGAGAAGAGAUUAAGCUCGGGAUGGCCAUCAAGGCAAAGAAAAAGAAUGAAAUGGAGGAAGACCUGGUUUCUGAGCCAGUACUGUGCUUUUGCUCAGCAGAUAUUUAGCAGAUUAAAAGGACAGCUGGAUUCUUGAAUAUUGGGAGAGAAUGGAUGGACAGCUGGGAGGUAACAAAGCCCCCAGG
Molecule: long non-coding RNA, 287 nt
Organism: Cygnus atratus (black swan)
Lineage: Eukaryota; Metazoa; Chordata; Aves; Anseriformes; Anatidae
Exons: 3
Source: RefSeq, a predicted model, not a curated record